This 253-nucleotide ribosomal RNA is filed under the name uncultured bacterium. RNAcentral's name for it is "partial 16S ribosomal RNA". It matches the Rfam family "Bacterial small subunit ribosomal RNA", at positions 524 to 776 of the family's 1533-position model. The record is from RNAcentral.
UACGUAGGGGGCAAGCGUUGUCCGGAAUCAUUGGGCGUAAAGAGCGUGUAGGCGGCUCGUUAAGUCUGCUGUGAAAGUCCAGGGCUCAACCCUGGAAGGCCGGUGGAAACUGUCGGGCUAGAGUCCGGAAGAGGCGAGUGGAAUUCCUGGUGUAGCGGUGGAAUGCGCAGAUAUCAGGAGGAACACCGGUGGCGAAGGCGGCUCUCUGGGCAGUAACUGACGCUGAGGAGCGAAAGCGUGGGGAGCGAACAGG